This 497-nucleotide ribosomal RNA is filed under the name uncultured bacterium. Its description in RNAcentral is "partial 16S ribosomal RNA". It matches the Rfam family "Bacterial small subunit ribosomal RNA", at positions 28 to 507 of the family's 1533-position model. The record is from RNAcentral.
GACGAACGCUGGCGGCGUGCCUAAUACAUGCAAGUAGAACGCUGAAGAGAGGAGCUUGCUCUUCUUGGAUGAGUUGCGAACGGGUGAGUAACGCGUAGGUAACCUGCCUUGUAGCGGGGGAUAACUAUUGGAAACGAUAGCUAAUACCGCAUAACAAUGGAUGACACAUGUCAUUUAUUUGAAAGGGGCAAUUGCUCCACUACAAGAUGGACCUGCGUUGUAUUAGCUAGUAGGUGAGGUAAUGGCUCACCUAGGCGACGAUACAUAGCCGACCUGAGAGGGUGAGCGGCCACACUGGGACUGAGACACGGCCCAGACUCCUACGGGAGGCAGCAGUAGGGAAUCUUCGGCAAUGGGGGCAACCCUGACCGAGCAACGCCGCGUGAGUGAAGAAGGUUUUCGGAUCGUAAAGCUCUGUUGUAAGUCAAGAACGGGUGUGAGAGUGGAAAGUUCACACUGUGACGGUAGCUUACCAGAAAGGGACGGCUAACUACGUG